This 328-nucleotide ribosomal RNA is filed under the name Brithys crini. RNAcentral describes it as "partial 16S large subunit ribosomal RNA". The record is from RNAcentral. Lineage: Eukaryota; Metazoa; Arthropoda; Insecta; Lepidoptera; Noctuidae.
UUUAAUUGAUGACUUGUAUGAAAGAUUGGAUGAAAUAUAAACUGUCUCUUAAUUAAAAAUAAAAUUUAAUUUUUUAAUUAAAAAGUUAAAAUAAAUUAAAAAGACGAGAAGACCCUAUAGAGUUUAAUAAAUUAUUUAAUUAAGAUUAUUUAUAAAUUUAAAAUUAAAAUUAAUUAAUUUAUUUUGUUGGGGUGACAGAAAAAUAAAUAUAACUUUUUUUUAUUAAGAACAUAUAUAAGUGGUUAGAUGAUCCAAUAUUAUUGAUUAUAAGAAAAAAUUACCUUAGGGAUAACAGCGUAAUUUUUUUUUUUAGUUCAUAUAAAAAAAA